UAUUAAAUAUUUCAGGUUAUUCUAUAGAAUCAAAGCAGAAAAUUUGGGAUUGCGUCAAAUCUGAAUACCCUGCUUUAAUAACAUGGGAAUAUUGUAUGCGAUACUUGGGAACUAAUUCUGGAGGAGAAUUUCUCAACAAUCAAUGCGGCCCAUCUGACGUUCCUAUAGAACAGCAAGAAAGCUUUUCUAGAUGUAUUGAAGAGAAUAUAAAUGAAAAUAUUGAACAAAAAAGUGAUGAAGAAGAGAAAAUCUUGCUUCGUAAUUGCAUGCAAAACAUGGAUUUAUAUUAGAAUAAUACAUUGAUGUAUUCACAAUCUUGUAAACAUUUUCAGAAUUUAAAUAAAAUUACUUAAUUAUUAAUA
Long non-coding RNA from Centruroides sculpturatus (bark scorpion), 362 nucleotides. RefSeq lists it as uncharacterized. The record is from RefSeq and is a predicted model, not a curated record. NCBI's taxonomy places the organism in Eukaryota, Metazoa, Arthropoda, Arachnida, Scorpiones, Buthidae. The transcript has 4 exons.